CCUGCUUCUCUACGGUUCGGCCUCCCUCCUCCCUCCUCCCUGCGCUCCCUCCGCGCCCCUGGCCUGAGCUGCCCGCUUCCAUACUCGCCAUUGGUCAGUUCCCCCGUCGUUCAGGGUAACUCUCCCAGGUGUGACUCCGCCCCCUCCGCCCUAUUGGCUGCCCGAGGCUGCAGGCUGCAGUUCACUUAGGCAAAUUUAAAGAACUCUGAGCUUCGGUGCGGUGGGUGCUUGGAGGAGAACCGCGCCGACUGCGAGGGAACAUAGAACUCUGGAUCUGGCCGCGCUGUUUUCUCGGAGACCGAGCCCCACGUCAGCGUGGCCGCACAGAUGUCGCAGCGUGGGCCGACGCUCCAGGCAUGACGUCAUCUGCUGACCACUGCCCACCGCCUCUGACGUGUGGCCGGGCGUCACCUGCGGCUCCUCCCUCUGUGGGGAGCUCGGACUGGUACAGGAUUUGGGACAUGGACGGGCCUGGGGCCCGGGGCUGGGCCUGGCUUGCGGACCGGAAGUGGGGCAGAGGUGACUCCGGGAGAGCCGGCGGGGCUGGGCAGCCGGGCCCGACCGCAGGCCACAGACCGGAAGGCUGAAGACGGAAGCCGCCGAGGAGAGCAGGAAAAUAGAAGCACCCUGGGAACCUGUUCCCCCAAUUCCCGGGGGCGAAACAGCAGCCAGGCUUGAGAGAGAAGCGAACUUCCCCAUCUCAUUUCGGGCUUGUUUCCCGCGGCCGUCACCCACCCGCGAGCGACUGCAGGUGGCGCACAGAUGGCAGGGAGUGAGACGAAGCGCACAGCGAGAGCCAAGGCAGCCCGAGCUGGGGAGGAGCAGGGCACCCGGGGGUGACGGGGUGCAGUCACGGAGUCAGUUCCCCGCCGCCCUCAGAAAGCAGUUACGCUGCGUUUCUGUGCGCUAAUUCCUCGCUCUUAGCAAAGCUCUGAUUACUUUUUAUUUGUUUGUUUGUUUGUUUGUUUGUUUAUUUGUAUUGUGGGUGUGGGUGUGUGAGACGGGGGAUGAAGGCCAGGGCCUUCAUACUGACCAACAUCCCCCAUUCUUUUUUUAUUUUUUAUUUUAAG
This 1070-nucleotide long non-coding RNA is filed under the name Heterocephalus glaber (naked mole-rat). Its description in RNAcentral is "lncRNA (ENSHGLG00100047105.1)". The record is from RNAcentral. Lineage: Eukaryota; Metazoa; Chordata; Mammalia; Rodentia; Bathyergidae.